RNAcentral lists this ribosomal RNA (770 nucleotides) under uncultured bacterium. RNAcentral's name for it is "bacterial SSU rRNA". It matches the Rfam family "Bacterial small subunit ribosomal RNA", at positions 8 to 796 of the family's 1533-position model. The record is from RNAcentral.
AGAGUUUGAUCCUGGCUCAGGACGAACGCUGGCGGCGUGCUUAACACAUGCAAGUCGAGCGGAAAGGCCCUUCGGGGUACUCGAGCGGCGAACGGGUGAGUAACACGUGAGCAACCUGCCCCUGGCUCUGGGAUAGCUCCGGGAAACCGGGAUUAAUACCGGAUAUGACCCUUCCGUGCAUGCGGGGGGGUGGAAAGUUUUUCGGCUGGGGAUGGGCUCGCGGCCUAUCAGCUUGUUGGUGGGGUGAUGGCCUACCAAGGCGACGACGGGUAGCCGGCCUGAGAGGGCGGGCGGCCACACUGGGACUGAGACACGGCCCAGACUCCUACGGGAGGCAGCAGUGGGGAAUAUUGCGCAAUGGGCGGAAGCCUGACGCAGCGACGCCGCGUGGGGGAUGAAGGCCUUCGGGUUGUAAACCUCUUUCAGCAGGGGCGAAGCGAGAGUGACGGUACCUGCAGAAGAAGCGCCGGCUAACUACGUGCCAGCAGCCGCGGUAAUACGUAGGGCGCAAGCGUUGUCCGGAAUUAUUGGGCGUAAAGAGCUCGUAGGCGGCCUGUCGCGUCUGCUGUGAAAUCCCGGGGCUUAACCCCGGGCGUGCAGUGGAUACGGGCUGGCUGGAGGCAGGCAGGGGAGAAUGGAAUUCCCGGUGUAGCGGUGAAAUGCGCAGAUAUCGGGAGGAACACCGGUGGCGAAGGCGGUUCUCUGGGCCUGUUCUGACGCUGAGGAGCGAAAGCGUGGGGAGCGAACAGGAUUAGAUACCCCGGUAGUCC